CAGUCGCCGCGGGAAUACGUAGGUGGCGAGCGUUGUCCGGAUUUAUUGGGCGUAAAGCGAGCGCAGGCGGUUAGAUAAGUCUGAAGUUAAAGGCUGUGGCUUAACCAUAGUACGCUUUGGAAACUGUUUAACUUGAGUGCAAGGGGGGAGAGUGGAAUUCCAUGUGUAGCGGUGAAAUGCGUAGAUAUAUGGAGGAACACCAGUGGCGAAGGCGACUCUCUGGUCUGUAACUGACACUGAGAGACGAAAGCUAGGGGAGCAAAUGGGAUUAGAUACCCCUGUAGUCCCUGUCUCUUAUACA
Molecule: ribosomal RNA, 301 nt
Filed under: uncultured bacterium
Lineage: Bacteria
Description: partial 16S ribosomal RNA
Rfam family: Bacterial small subunit ribosomal RNA
Source: RNAcentral